This is a long non-coding RNA of Myripristis murdjan (pinecone soldierfish), 1702 nucleotides long. RefSeq lists it as uncharacterized. NCBI's taxonomy places the organism in Eukaryota, Metazoa, Chordata, Actinopteri, Holocentriformes, Holocentridae. The transcript has 5 exons. The record is from RefSeq and is a predicted model, not a curated record.
UGUUCACUCUGCCAUGAAGCCUUCAACAACACCUCGCCUGAGCCUGCCAUCUCCUCACCUUCCCAGUGUGUUCUGCACUAAAUCCACAUGUUUCUCCAUACCUGCCUGCCUGCUCUACAGUUGGGUUCCGCUACCUUCAGCUGCAUGACAGCUUGUCAAUGCUUUGUCUUCGCCAUCGUUAAAAAUGCCUCCGUAUCUCCCUGUCUAGAAGUCUACGCAACGAUGUAGCCUUGAAACUAAUAUGGAGUCAACAGCGUAUCCAAAAUGCUCCGUUUUAGGAGUUUGACUAUGCCGGAGUAAUGUGAAUGCUACAUGCAAGCAUAGCAAGCUUUGCGGGCUAAAACAGAAAACAUUCGGUGGCUGCAGCCUAGAACUGUCCUCUCCAGUUGGAUUACCAUCAACAGCUUCCUGAUGGUAUCCCUGAACAACAGAGAUGCGCAAUUAAAAGAAGAGCUUCCAACUUCAUCGUGAAGGCUGAGCAAACUUUGGGCUUUAUCUAUACAACAUCCUGUCAAUAGAGUCUAAUCUGUGCUGAAAACCUUGAGGAUUUUCACUCUCGCCAGAUGGAGAACUGUAUUAUAUCUGCCUCCUGACAUCACAGGAGGCAGACCAAAUAUUUAUGAGUUCCAUGCCAGCCAGUGUGGGGCUCAUUGUGGAGUUUAAAAAAAACCAUCAUUCCAUCAUCAGCUGCUGCCAUCAGGCAUGGAAUGGAAAAUACAUCCCCAAAUGUGUCACAGCCAUUUGAAGUAAUUGGAAUGGACCCUGAGAGGCUCACAGUAACAGAGUGGUCAUGUACCCAAAGGAGAAAGUAGUCAUGUUUGAUGCCACUGAUGACCAGCUGAGAAAACGCAGAGAUUCAACAAGGGCCUCCAUUAGAAGGAAAAUGAAUGUGUCCAGAUGGACUUGUGCCACAGUUUCUCAUCCCUGCCUGCAGGACACCACGUCAUGUGGCGUCAUAGUCUGGAAAAUUGAAUGCUCAGCAUGAGGCGUCUGGUACCACUGCCAGCGUUUGGGACAAUCACCCACUGAUCAGCUGUUAUUGUCCUGCCUUCCCUCCUACAUCAUGCUGUAGCCUAUACAGGUGAAUGCCCCCUUUGAAAACCAAAUCAGAUGUCCUACCGGUGAUAGUCAUUAAGCUAUGUUAACAUUUUUAUUCAGGUCCUGGGCUGUUUGUUUGGUAACUGCCAAACUAACUGCUCAUUUUUUCUUUUUCUUGAUUGAUUGAAGCAGUUUUGGAGGUUUUCAUGAGGCUAUUUUCUGUUAAUGGGCUUCUGAGAGGCUAACUGAGAAUUAAAUUCUGGCUCCACACAGACUCCACUUAUUCUGUCAGCUGACUGUUAUACCAAUACCACUGCACUGAUUUGACAGUCUUAUUCUAUUCCCUGAUCCUCAUAUUCUCUCUGUACAGUGGCAUGUUACUUUACUGCUGAUGCAACCUCCUGUCAGUCUUCACUGCUAUAUGCACUCUAAAAUUCUUUGUACAUGUAUUUCCGUGGGGAAUUCUCUGCAGUGCUCUGUUCUCAUGUGCUGUAUAUCUUGGAUGUUUUGCUGUGUUUCCACAGUAGCAGAUUACCACCUUUGUCUUUGUUUCCAUCUCAGUUCACAAUGACAUGAGUGGUUCUUGACAAAAUAAACUUAAUACACAUUUUUUUUAAACAAACUUGACAGCAAAUGUCAAGUUUAAACUGCAUUACUUAUUCUU